GGCGGGAUUACCCGCUGAGUUUAAGCAUAUCAAUAAGC
This 38-nucleotide ribosomal RNA is filed under the name Juanulloa parasitica. Its description in RNAcentral is "partial 26S ribosomal RNA". RNAcentral also lists the same sequence under 1 other name. Lineage: Eukaryota; Viridiplantae; Streptophyta; Magnoliopsida; Solanales; Solanaceae. The record is from RNAcentral.